CCUACGGGAGGCAGCAGUGGGGAAUAUUGCACAAUGGGGGAAACCCUGAUGCAGCGACGCCGCGUGAGCGAGGAAGUAUUUCGGUAUGUAAAGCUCUGUCAGCCGGGAAGAAGAAUGACGGUACCUUAAGAAGAAGCACCGGCUAAAUACGUGCCAGCAGCCGCGGUAAUACGUAUGGUGCAAGCGUUAUCCGGAUUUACUGGGUGUAAAGGGAGCGCAGGCGGUUCUGCAAGUCUGAUGUGAAAGCCCGGGGCUCAACCCCGGAACUGCGUUGGAAACUGUGCAGCUAGAGUGCAGGAGAGGUAAGUGGAAUUCCUAGUGUAGCGGUGAAAUGCGUAGAUAUUAGGAGGAACACCAGUGGCGAAGGCGGCUUACUGGACUGUAACUGACGUUGAGGCUCGAAAGCGUGGGGAGCAAACAGGAUUAGAUACCCCGGUAGUC
Molecule: ribosomal RNA, 441 nt
Filed under: uncultured bacterium
Lineage: Bacteria
Description: partial 16S ribosomal RNA
Rfam family: Bacterial small subunit ribosomal RNA
Source: RNAcentral